RNAcentral lists this ribosomal RNA (430 nucleotides) under uncultured bacterium. RNAcentral describes it as "bacterial SSU rRNA". It matches the Rfam family "Bacterial small subunit ribosomal RNA", at positions 355 to 776 of the family's 1533-position model. The record is from RNAcentral.
UGGGGAAUCUUGCGCAAUGGGCGAAAGCCUGACGCAGCGACGCCGCGUGGGUGAUGAAGGCCUUCGGGUUGUAAAGCCCUUUCAGCAGGGAAGAACGAUCCGUCUUCGAAUAGGGGGCGGAUGUGACGGUACCUGCAGAAGAAGCCACGGCUAACUCCGUGCCAGCAGCCGCGGUAAGACGGAGGUGGCAAGCGUUGCUCGGAUUUACUGGGCGUAAAGCGCACGUAGGUGGUCCCGUAAGUCAGACGUGAAAUCCCUCGGCUCAACCGAGGAACUGCGUUUGAAACUGCAGGACUUGAGUGCAGGAGAGGAAGGCGGAAUUCCCGGUGUAGAGGUGAAAUUCGUAGAUAUCGGGAAGAACACCGGUGGCGAAGGCGGCCUUCUGGACUGCUACUGACACUGAGGUGCGAAAGCGUGGGGAGCAAACAGG